UUACGGUCAAAUCACGUAGAAAACACCGGUUCUCGUUCGAUCACCGAAGUUCGUAGAGCCAGGUCCAGGUCAGUACUUAGAUGGGGGACCGCUUGGGAACACCUGGUACUGUAAG
Non-coding RNA from Acanthosepion pharaonis, 115 nucleotides. The record is from the annotation of a GenBank genome assembly. NCBI's taxonomy places the organism in Eukaryota, Metazoa, Mollusca, Cephalopoda, Sepiida, Sepiidae.